AAAACGAGGCGUUGCUAGUACGGCGAGUGAGCGGCACAGCUCAAAUUUGAAAUCUGGCUCCUCCCGGGCCCGAAUUGUAAUUUGGAGAGGAUGCUUUUGGCGCGGCCCCUGUCGAAUCGCCCGGGACGGGGCCCCCUGAAAGGGGGAAAACCCCGUUUGGGGGGGGCCUACCCUUUGCGUGUUUCCCUCCUUCAAUCAAGUUGGUUGAUAGUAAAUAA
RNAcentral lists this ribosomal RNA (218 nucleotides) under uncultured Myriangium. RNAcentral describes it as "partial 28S ribosomal RNA". The record is from RNAcentral. Lineage: Eukaryota; Fungi; Ascomycota; Dothideomycetes; Myriangiales; Myriangiaceae.